AGGACGAACGCUGGCGGCGUGCCUAACACAUGCAAGUCGAACGGAGUUACUUGUUUAGAUCCCUUCGGGGUGACGAACUUUAACUUAGUGGCGGACGGGUGAGUAACGCGUGAGUAACCUGCCUCUGAGAGGGGAAUAACGUUCUGAAAAGAUCGCUAAUACCGCAUAACAUAUCGAAGUCGCAUGGCUUUGAUAUCAAAGAUUUUUAUCGCUCGGAGAUGGACUCGCGUCCGAUUAGCUUGUUGGCGGGGUAACGGCCCACCAAGGCGACGAUCGGUAGCCGGACUGAGAGGUUGAUCGGCCACAUUGGGACUGAGACACGGCCCAGACUCCUACGGGAGGCAGCAGUGGGGGAUAUUGCGCAAUGGGGGGCCAACCCUGACGCAGCAACGCCGCGUGAAGGAAGACGGUUUUCGGAUUGUAAACUUCUUUUGUCAGGGACGAAUUCUGACGGUACCUGACGAAUAAGCUCCGGCUAACUACGUGCCAGCCGCCGC
This 497-nucleotide ribosomal RNA is filed under the name uncultured bacterium. RNAcentral describes it as "bacterial SSU rRNA". It matches the Rfam family "Bacterial small subunit ribosomal RNA", at positions 26 to 518 of the family's 1533-position model. The record is from RNAcentral.